RNAcentral lists this ribosomal RNA (468 nucleotides) under uncultured bacterium. Its description in RNAcentral is "partial 16S ribosomal RNA". It matches the Rfam family "Bacterial small subunit ribosomal RNA", at positions 28 to 507 of the family's 1533-position model. The record is from RNAcentral.
GACGAACGCUGGCGGCGUGCUUAACACAUGCAAGUCGAACGGAAAGGCCCUGCUUUUGUGGGGUGCUCGAGUGGCGAACGGGUGAGUAACACGUGAGUAACCUGCCCUUGACUUUGGGAUAACUUCAGGAAACUGGGGCUAAUACCGGAUAGGAGCUCCUGCUGCAUGGUGGGGGUUGGAAAGUUUCGGCGGUUGGGGAUGGACUCGCGGCUUAUCAGCUUGUUGGUGGGGUAGUGGCUUACCAAGGCUUUGACGGGUAGCCGGACUGAGAGGGUGACCGGCCACAUUGGGACUGAGAUGCGGCCCGGACUCCUACGGGAGGCAGCAGUGGGGAAUAUUGCACAAUGGGCGGAAGCCUGAUGCAGCAACGCCGCGUGCGGGAUGACGGCCUUCGGGUUGUAAACCGCUUUCGCCUGUGACGAAGCGUGAGUGACGGUAAUGGGUAAAGAAGCACCGGCUAACUACGUG